Molecule: long non-coding RNA, 2630 nt
Organism: Penaeus vannamei (Pacific white shrimp)
Lineage: Eukaryota; Metazoa; Arthropoda; Malacostraca; Decapoda; Penaeidae
Source: RefSeq, a predicted model, not a curated record
GAUUCGCCAGUCCCCUCUGGGCCGUUACACAAGAGGGGGGACCACACACACAUACACAUACACUAACAUUAACACAUACAUCAACACAAACAUGCACAGACACACAUACACUCACACACUGAUAUAUAUUGUACAUUCACCCAUUUAACAUAUAUUUGACAUAAACACACGAGCAGUGCCUUUAACUACGACGAUGACUUCGACGCCAGAAGGCUGCCCACCUUCAAGAAGACUUAACGCCAGCUUUAGAAACACUCGGAGCCAGUUUCCACCUUCGACGUGACAAGACCAUUCUGAAGCGUCUGGGCCUGAGAACACUCGAAGGCGGGGAGUGUCUGGAGAUCCACUUGAAUGGAGCUGAGGAGUUAGGGCUUCACGUCCCUCCAUAUCACCACAAAUAACACCUGACGGUCCUUGCUGCACAUCUGAACACCACCCGCUCUGACGUGAAGCAUAGCCCCCGCCCCUGUUUCCUGUUUGUGGAGCCCAUCGCGAACAGUGGUCCAGACACACCGCGAAAUAUUGGUCCACUCAAGAUGAACAAAGUCGAGAUCUGUGAAGAAACAGCGGCCGCAGCCAAUUGUGUAACGUAAUCAAGAUUUAUCGCGGACGCUGGUAAAGAUCCACAGUGUAUAUCAGCCCAGACGUGGAGUGAAUAUCGGACCACAUCCGUUACGAACACCAGUCCGGUCACGAUUUUUCCAAACCGUAUUCUCCAAUGAUCCAGAUUCGUUUCGUCGUCUCCACCAACCUAGCAACUCGUCAUCACUGGGCCAACAUGGAGCUCCAAACUCUAGUCAUAUCAAAAGGCAGAGAUGCCAUCGAGAAUGAAGAAACCUCCGACGUUGCACCACUAUCUUGAUACCUGACCAAACCAAGAUGAGGGACAGACGACCCCUACGAAGACCUGCAGAUGAUAUUUACUUACUUAUCAGUCCGAAGACUUGCCCUGCAACAACGGCGUAAAAAAUCUGCUAAUCUGGAGUUGAUAUCAUUCCUAUCAGGAAAAUGUGUCAUUUAUGAAUUCAGCUUUCUACCUGUGGUCGGCGUCAGGUCAGGAGGAAGUGUCAGGUGCACUCCGUCUCCCGGCAACGUUUGACAAUCGCUGUUAUCGUCAGGAGGAAGUGGAAGAUUCACUGCGGCUCCUGACAACGCAUUGACAAUUGCGGACAAGUCGGGAGGAAGUAAAAACUUUAUAGAACUUCUGACCACGCUGAUAAUCACCGCACGUCUUUAAAUAGUUGACACAAACUUUACAUAACCUAAAAAUAUGUUGGGAAUUCCUGAUAUGCCAAGAGCAAGAGCAGAAUGGAGGCGCCCCUGAAGACGUGCCAUGGACACCAGAUGGUCCGCGCAGGAGAGUUGCCAGGCACUUGUGACAGUGAAUAAUCAGCAUGUGUUUGUGUUGAUUGCGGUUGUUGACAUCAACAUUGGUUACAAAAUUUUGAUGAAAGAUAUAUCUACACCAAAGUAAAAUUGAAACAACAUGGCAGUCUUUGAAUCAUGACUGCAAGCAGUGACAGAAAAUGUUCAAUUUUGUUAUGAAAAGAGUGAAGUACAAAGUUUACGCAUGAAAUCUGUGCAACUUUGUGUUAUCGAGGAAGUUACAUAUAAUAAUUCAGCAUUAUUGUCCGAUUUUUUUCACUAUAGCCAUCACCGUUACCUUCUUAUUCUGAUGAUCUUACAUGUGCGCUGCAAAGUCGGAGCAUAGAUCGCGAGAGCCUUUUCACCUCCGCCAGGAAAUCGUAGAGGCAUUCCCUGCGCGUGUCGUCGCAUGACAGCCGUGCCAUUUGAGUUCUUGGAGCAAAGGUGCAAGUUAUUUGGCGGGUGUGCGGGUCGCCAAGGUUGCUGUCGCGUGUCCCAUGGCUCCUCGGAUUAGCCAUGGUGAUGUACGAUCCGAGUAACUGCGGGUCAAAGUUUCAAUACAACACCUAGCUUGAUAGUAACUCCCGGUAGUUGGUGACGACUGAACGUUGUAUUGACAAUACAGCCAAAGGAUUAUCAGUCGUUUGUACUGGGAAUGUUUUAGUUUGAGCCUCACUCUGGUUGUCUUUCGUCUGUAUUGCACUAUCAUUUACCGACUUGGACAAUCGUGGAGUAGAGAAUUUUUUAGAUUAUCGGAUCAAAAUCGUUAGUCUCAAUAAGGCCAUCAAAAUCGUACAUAAUAUCAGUUCUCCUCCAUCCAUCGAAGUAAGACGCUGGGCCUUGAGAAAAAGCAUGAUAAAACUGACUUCUUUUCACUUGACUAAGACUCGGAAUGUUCCUGUGAGUGUCUGUGUGUAAACAUUACGGCGCAUCGAGGAAGGCGUUUGUUUACCUUCCCUCGCGGCGUCGGUUAUCACACGCGAACUAUUCGUGGCGUGCAGUGUUGCGAAGGCUUUGAGUUCCCAGCAUGUAAUUCACAAGGGCGUGUGUAUUUCUCGUUUGCAACAGUGCACUUCAUGCCGGCCAUCGAGUCCUCUGAAGGGUUGGAAAUAUAACAUGCUGCCACCUGACCAAUCAGAGAACUCCCUGGCCUCGCUGGACAAGCGCUUCCUCGCUAUUGGUUCCUUCAGUGCCACCUGAACCAAUAAGAGGAACUUUUGUUCUUGUUCCGUGUGAGAUGUGUGACCCGGAAUGUUUAGGUCAUU